This is a long non-coding RNA of Suricata suricatta (meerkat), 526 nucleotides long. RefSeq lists it as uncharacterized. The record is from RefSeq and is a predicted model, not a curated record. The transcript has 4 exons. NCBI's taxonomy places the organism in Eukaryota, Metazoa, Chordata, Mammalia, Carnivora, Herpestidae.
AUCUAUUCUGUGCACCUGUUAGCAAGAUGUGUCCUAAGGCACAAGAAUCACAGUAAUUAACCCUGCUCAACAAUCUACACUCAAUCAUCCGCCACUCCGUUGGCUUAGAGAAUUCAGCAGAAAUGGAUGUCCAGUCUUAGAGCUUUACCUCCACGAUGAUAAUAAUGGAGUAUAACUGUAAAGUAAAGCCCAUCCAUGGAAUUUAUUACUACACCACAGAAAUAGGACCCAUUCUGUGUCCAAACCUUCAGAACAUUCCAGAGAUGGCACAGAAAGAUAAAAGGCAAAGACAAGCACAGUGCCAGUUGCAAGCCAUAUACCAAGACCUGUGAGUUUUCUCUCGAUGGUGUGGAAAACCAGACAAAGUGAAAUUAUGGAUUCCUUGAAAUGUGUUCUUCAAGGCCAGAGAUGAAAAAGCCUAGAAUGUUCUUCAUGACUAGGUUAAGCUGGUGAAGAAGCAGGUCAGAUAAGAUGCGGUUUGUGAGCAAUCCGUGAACUUCAUUCAUCGAUGACCAUCCUUUCCUCU